CACUGAAUUUGAUGCAUAUUAGAAAGAUAUAAUGUUUCCAAAUUGAUAUAUACUAGCUCUUGAUGUGUGAUUGUGAAUUCAAAGAACGAAAUUCAAACAACUAAGUCAAUUUUCAAAUUCACUGCCAAAUUUACCUCAGAUCUAAAUUAACAACACUAAUUCAAUGAAUAGCCUUAGACUUCUUUACACAAGUGAAGGUGCAAAAGUAUGCUUCAUAAUGCUUCUGGGUUGAAUUGUAUACACUGGCAACAUUAUUAGAUCACCUUAGAUGGGGACUUUUAAUAUUUCCCACGUUAUCUUAAAACAGACCUAAAUUAUGACAAGGAUCUCAUUGCUUUAGUAAUCUGAGUGUUUGACCAGAAGACUACACAAACAAUUAAGCAAAAUCAGCACACAUAAACAAACACGAAUCAAACCAGUAACAGGGGGAAAAAAAGAAAAGAAAAUAAUUUUCAAUCUAUUAAAUAUACAAAUGCAUCAAUUACCACGGAUCGGCAAAGGUUUACAGAUGAACGGCAUUCAAAAAAUCGACUGCAGGUCAUUAAAACAAUCCACCAAAUACAAAGCAUCGAUGUAUAACCUCAGAAGAUAUAUGGUUUCAAACAAGAUCCAUUUCUUAAUUUUAAUUUCUAAAUCGAUU
Molecule: long non-coding RNA, 640 nt
Filed under: Olea europaea subsp. europaea
Lineage: Eukaryota; Viridiplantae; Streptophyta; Magnoliopsida; Lamiales; Oleaceae
Source: RNAcentral